This 1387-nucleotide ribosomal RNA is filed under the name metagenome. RNAcentral's name for it is "bacterial SSU rRNA". It matches the Rfam family "Bacterial small subunit ribosomal RNA", at positions 8 to 1375 of the family's 1533-position model. The record is from RNAcentral.
AGAGUUUGAUCCUGGCUCAGAACGAACGCUGGCGGCGUGCUUCAUACAUGCAAGUCGAACGAGAAAAUUCCGCUUCGGUGGAAUGAGUAGAGUGGCAAACGGGUGAGUAACACGUGGGCAACCUGCUCUCAAAUUGGGGAUAACCUCGCCAACGCGGGGCUAAUACCGAAUGUUGUCCUAAUAUCGCAUGGUAUAAGGAUGAAAGCUUUUUUUUAAUAAGAAGGCGUUUGAGAAGGGGCCCGCGUCCUAUUAGCUUGUUGGUGAGGUAAUGGCUCACCAAGGCUGCGAUAGGUAGCCGGCCUGAGAGGGUGAUCGGCCACACUGGGACUGAGAUACGGCCCAGACUCCUACGGGAGGCAGCAGUAGGGAAUAUUGCGCAAUGGACGAAAGUCUGACGCAGCAACGCCGCGUGGGUGAUGAAGUUUUUCGGAACGUAAAACCCUGUCAGGAGGGAAGAAACUCUCGAUUUUUUCGGGACUGACGGUACCUCCAGAGGAAGCUCCGGCCAACUCCGUGCCAGCAGCCGCGGUAACACGGGGGGAGCAAGCGUUGUUCGGAUUUACUGGGCGUAAAGGGCUGUAGGCGGAUGGGUCAGUCAGAUGUGAAAUUCCAGGGCUCAACUCUGGACCUGCAUUUGAUACUUCUCAUCUAGAGUAUGGGAGAGGAGAUCGGAAUUCCUGGUGUAGCGGUGAAAUGCGUAGAUAUCAGGAAGAACACCGGUGGCGAAGGCGGAUCUCUGGCCUAAUACUGACGCUGAUGCGCGAAAGCUGGGGGAGCAAACAGGAUUAGAUACCCUGGUAGUCCCAGCCGUAAACGAUGGGCACUAGGUGUUGGGGGUAUUGAUCCCCUCAGUGCCGGAGUUAACGCAUUAAGUGCCCCGCCUGGGGAGUACGCUCGCAAGGGUGAAACUCAAAGGAAUUGACGGGGGCCCGCACAAGCGGUGGAGCAUGUGGUUUAAUUCGAUGCAACGCGAAGAACCUUACCGGGGUUUGACAUGCCCGUCAUACCUUGAUGAAAGUCAAGGGUCAGUUCGGCUGGACGGUGCACAGGUGCUGCAUGGCUGUCGUCAGCUCGUGUCGUGAGAUGUUGGGUUAAGUCCCGCAACGAGCGCAACCCUUACCCUUAGUUGCCAGCACGUAAUGGUGGGAACUCUAAGGGGACUGCCUCGGAUAACGGGGAGGAAGGUGGGGAUGACGUCAAGUCCUCAUGGCCCUUAUGCUCCGGGCUACACACGUGCUACAAUGGUCGGUACAGAGGGCUGCGAAACCGCGAGGUGGAGCUAAUCCCAGAAAGCCGAUCUCAGUUCGGAUUGGAGUCUGCAACUCGACUCCAUGAAGUCGGAAUCGCUAGUAAUCGCGAAUCAGCAGGUCGCGGUGAAUACGUUCCC